UGUUGCACGCCAUGCGGAUUGACACGACUCUCGGCAAUGGAUAUCUCGGCUCUCGCAUCGAUGAAGAGCGCAGCGAAAUGCGAUAUGUGGUGCGAAUUGCAGAAUCCCGUGAAC
This 114-nucleotide ribosomal RNA is filed under the name Maxillaria cucullata. RNAcentral's name for it is "5.8S ribosomal RNA". The stretch from base 26 to 114 matches the Rfam family "5.8S ribosomal RNA", at positions 1 to 89 of the family's 154-position model. Rfam says of the family: 5.8S ribosomal RNA (5.8S rRNA) is a component of the large subunit of the eukaryotic ribosome. It is transcribed by RNA polymerase I as part of the 45S precursor that also contains 18S and 28S rRNA. The record is from RNAcentral. Lineage: Eukaryota; Viridiplantae; Streptophyta; Magnoliopsida; Asparagales; Orchidaceae.